GCUAGGCCUAGGAAGAAGCCAGCUACCCGUGGUUAUAUGGAGGAGCGUAUGGGGUGGAGAGCGCCAUGUUUCGCUGAGGAGCGCACUAUCUCACCCAUACGCACGCACAGUCCGGUGCGCGUUAUUCCAGCCCCUCGCAGGUGCCGUGCUAGAGCGGGCAUCCAGCCUGGUAGGAGGAUGCCUGCGCAGCGCAUCUGGUCGCCGGUACGCCUCCGAGGACCAGGCUACCCAACUCCCGCUCUACGCACGGCUACCAUCAGGCCCCUGCACAGCCCAGUCUGGCCUGUACGAGCACCCCGCUCGUACAGGGCUACUAGUUCCAUCCAGCCAAGGCGGGUUGUGCAGGAGGUAAGAUCAAGACCGACUGUGCGCCUCCAUAGCCCUGGGUUUCCAGCUCCUGUCUCUCGUGCGAACCCGGAAGUGCGUCAACCCAGUCCGACUCGUCCUGUUCCCGCUCCCCGCACUAGCCUGGAGGUGCGUGUUCACAAUCUGGUAAGCCCAGUACCAGCACCACGCACCAGGCUUCAAGUGCGUAAACCCAGCCUCGCCAGUCAACAGUCACCAGAGCUGCCCGCCAGUCAACAGUCACCAGAGCUGCCCGCCAGUCAACAGUCACCAGAGCUGCCCGCCAGUCAACAGUCGUCAGAGCUGCCCGCCAGUCAACAGUCGUCAGAGCUGCCCGCCAGUCAACAGUCGUCAGAGCUGCCCGCCAGUCAACAGUCGCCGGAGCUGCCCGCCAAUCAACAGUCGUCGGAGCUGCCCGCCAGUCAACAGUCGUCAGAGCUUCCCGCCAGUCAACAGUCGUCGGAGCUGCCCGCCUAUCAACAGUCGUCGGAGCUGUGGCCAGACUGCGCUGAACUGCCGGAGUGGCCAGACUGCGCUGAACUGCCGGAGUGGCCAGACUGUGCUGAACUGCCGGAGUGGCCAGACUGCGCUGAACUGCCGGAGUGGCCAGACUGCGCUGAACUGCCGGAGUGGCCAGACUGCCCUGAACUGCCGGAGUGGCCAGACUGCCCUGAACUGCCGGAGUGGCCAGACUGCCCCGAACUGCCGGAGUGGCCAGACUGCCCCGAACUGCCGGAGUGGCCAGACUGUC
This 1096-nucleotide long non-coding RNA is filed under the name Salmo trutta (river trout). RNAcentral's name for it is "lncRNA (ENSSTUG00000037718.1)". Lineage: Eukaryota; Metazoa; Chordata; Actinopteri; Salmoniformes; Salmonidae. The record is from RNAcentral.